GACGGAGGAUGCAAGCGUUAUCCGGAAUGAUUGGGCGUAAAGCGUCCGCAGGUGGCAGUUCAAGUCUGCUGUCAAAGACCGGGGCUUAACUUCGGAAAGGCAGUGGAAACUGAACAGCUAGAGUAUGGUAGGGGCAGAGGGAAUUCCCGGUGUAGCGGUGAAAUGCGUAGAGAUCGGGAAGAACAUCGGUGGCGAAGGCGCUACUGCUGGACCAUAACUGACACUCAGGGACGAAAGCGUAGGGG
This 245-nucleotide ribosomal RNA is filed under the name uncultured bacterium. Its description in RNAcentral is "partial 16S ribosomal RNA". It matches the Rfam family "Bacterial small subunit ribosomal RNA", at positions 524 to 767 of the family's 1533-position model. The record is from RNAcentral.